RNAcentral lists this ribosomal RNA (565 nucleotides) under Kitasatospora sp. 340B03. RNAcentral describes it as "bacterial SSU rRNA". It matches the Rfam family "Bacterial small subunit ribosomal RNA", at positions 93 to 671 of the family's 1533-position model. Lineage: Bacteria; Bacillati; Actinomycetota; Actinomycetes; Kitasatosporales; Streptomycetaceae. The record is from RNAcentral.
CAGUGGCGAACGGGUGAGUAACACGUGGGGAAUCUGCCCUGAACUNUGGGACAAGCCUUGNGAAACGAGGUCUAAUACCGGAUACGACCUUCUCCUGCAUGGGGGUUGGUGGAAAGCUCCGGCGGUUCAGGAUGAUCCCGCGGCCUAUCAGCUUGUUGGUGGGGUAAUGGCCUACCAAGGCGACGACGGGUAGCCGGCCUGAGAGGGCGACCGGCCACACUGGGACUGAGACACGGCCCAGACUCCUACGGGAGGCAGCAGUGGGGAAUAUUGCACAAUGGGCGAAAGCCUGAUGCAGCGACGCCGCGUGAGGGAUGACGGCCUUCGGGUUGUAAACCUCUUUCAGCAGGGAAGAAGCGCAAGUGACGGUACCUGCAGAAGAAGCACCGGCUAACUACGUGCCAGCAGCCGCGGUAAUACGUAGGGUGCGAGCGUUGUCCGGAAUUAUUGGGCGUAAAGAGCUCGUAGGCGGCCUGUCGCGUCGGAUGUGAAAGCCCGGGGCUUAACCCCGGGUCUGCAUUCGAUACGGGCAGGCUAGAGUGUGGUAGGGGAGAUCGGANUUCCU